This is a long non-coding RNA of Astatotilapia calliptera (eastern happy), 1013 nucleotides long. The record is from Ensembl. Lineage: Eukaryota; Metazoa; Chordata; Actinopteri; Cichliformes; Cichlidae.
AAGUGACAAUUUAAGUUUCCAAGGAUUGACAACAGAAAGGUUCAGAGUACAGCGACGUGUUAAAGUGAGCUGAAAAAGGACAAAAAUGUACUCUGAUUACUACAAUAAUAAAGACCCCAGUGAACAUUACCACAGUACCGCCAACGACCUUCCUAAUGAUCCUGUUAAUAUUCCAAAAACUUUUCUCGUGCUUUGUAGCUACAGAGUAUCUCUUUCUCUAUAUCUCCCUUUUUUAAAUGUAAAAGAUGUUUUGCAAAGCGAGCUGAUCCGUGAAGAUCUCAGACCGACCCCGCCGUCUUGUUAUAAUGCUCUGAACUGUGCCCCGCCCCUUCUCCUUUUACCGUUUUGCCUGUUUCCCUGCAUUAGAUCCGUGUCCUCACUUUAGCCUGACUCAGAACAAUUAAAUAUAAUAUUAUAACAAUAUCUAUUUUUUAUUAUUUCAGAAGAAAAAAAACAAACAAACACUUUUGGGGGAGAGCACGUUUCUCGCUGCGUCCGCUAGUUAGGGACGCCGCAUGUUCACACAUCUACGCUGUAUAAAGUCAUGCUCUUUUCUUCUUCUUCUCUGUCUCUUUUCAGUUUAACCCACUCCUUCCAGGUCUACAAUGAAAAGCACAGUUUCUCACAUGCACACUUGCUCGCACUCACACACACACACAAUAAGUAGAUCUGUUAUCUCUUCAUGUGUUAGCCCUCGUCCAUCUCUCUAUAUUGACUUCUUGAUUUCUAGUUUUUAAAAAAGAAAACAACCGUGUAUAAUGACAUGAGAAAGCAUUUUUUCCUCUCAUUUUGUUCCCGUUUCCGUCAUAUUUUUUAUGUUUUGUUCUUUACCCAGUGAAUGCUUUUUUCUGUGCAGCUUUCUCUCUCUCUCUCUCUCUCUCUCUCUCUCUCUCCCUCUACUCUUCUUUAGUGAAUGGUUGUUAUUUCAUGUGGGAUGUCCGUGCUGGAAAAACCAAUCGAAUGUAGUGUUUACAUUAAAAAGCCACUGUUUUCAUGACUACGAAAAAACAAAA